UCCAGACUCCUACGGGAGGCAGCAGUGAGGAAUAUUGGUCAAUGGCCGAGAGGCUGAACCAGCCAAGUCGCGUGAGGGAUGACGGCCCUACGGGUUGUAAACCUCUUUUGUCGGGGAGCAAAGAGAGUCACGUGUGACUCAUUGAGAGUACCCGAAGAAAAAGCAUCGGCUAACUCCGUGCCAGCAGCCGCGGUAAUACGGGGGGUGCAAGCGUUGUCCGGAAUCAUUGGGCGUAAAGAGUUCGUAGGCGGCACGUAAAGUCUGGUGUUAAAGGCAGAGGCUCAACUUCUGUACGGCACUGGAUACUUGCGAGCUAGAAUGCGGUAGAGGUAAAGGGAAUUCCUGGUGUAGCGGUGAAAUGCUUAGAUAUCAGGAGGAACAUCGGUGGCGUAAGCGCUUUACUGGGCCGUAAUUGACGCUGAGGAACGAAAGCCAGGGUAGCAAAUGGGAUUAGAUACCCCUGUA
Molecule: ribosomal RNA, 465 nt
Filed under: uncultured bacterium
Lineage: Bacteria
Description: bacterial SSU rRNA
Rfam family: Bacterial small subunit ribosomal RNA
Source: RNAcentral